UCUGACCUGGAGACUUUCAUGAGUUGUGUCUUCAGUCAGGGCUUGGUGCUGCCUGCGUUGUCUGUGGGAGAAAUUGCAUUUGCAAAUCAGAGGAAGGUCACAGAGCGUGUCGCUGUGUUGCUUCUCCAGACAGUGUUUUCAUCUUCCGUGCACCUCUCCCCAAUCACCUCCACGUGCCUCGGUUGAGGAGGAAAAAGUCCCUCUGUCCCAGACGUCAGCGUCAACAAGAGCCGUGUAGACGGAGUAGGAAGCAGGAAUCUGUUUACUCCUGAGCUGUGUUAAUUAUCUGCAGAGGGCGGUGGGACCAGGCUGUGUCUGUUCUCUCGACGUCUUGCCUUACGCUGGGUCAUGCCAUAGAGACCAAGACGUCUGGAGCCCUAGAAACUUCUGAUGUCAAAUGUCUUUAGGAAAUUACAAAAAUCAAACUAACUCACCUAAAACUUUCCAUUCCCCUCAAAACCCAGCACAGCCUUGGGUGGCUUCAGGAAGUUUCUGCAGAUCACGCUCAUCCUUUACAUGCUGAGGCCGAACAUAGCCCUGAGCUUGUCAUUUCUUGUUCUCUAACUGCUUCCCUGAAUCAAGCAGCCAGUUUUUAUUGAAAAUCGAACAUCUUUAACUCUCUGCCAGAAACGGGAGGUCAUUCAGAAGGAGGAGAGAAGCCUUGAGGUUCAUUGUCACCAUCCAGAAUGAUAGCUGGCCUGGAUGUAAUGGGAAAAGGAGGCUUCUUGGGGAAGAAGGCAAAGGUGGCAGUGGUGACCAGUGGACACCAGCGGGGAGGACCCCAGAUGCUGUGGACUGAGACGGACACCUGGUGAUGCCUGGGGAGGUCACACAUUUUCACAUGACAGCCAAGGCAGUGAGAGGAGACAAAGGGAAAAGAGUGAAUGAAGUGGGCAGAGAGUGGCAGCAAUCAGAAGCAGUUACAGGGGCUGUUGGGGGAUUCGAUGUAAUGAUGAGGGAACAAGAAACAGACUAUCACACAGUGGAGGCCGAAGUCAGGGAAGCAAGGAGAGAUGCAGGAUUGCCCUGUGGUGGGAACGCGGAAAGCCUUGCGCACCUCAGCGGUCCCUGAAGAUGCCAACUUCCACCACCUAGACUCUGCUCUGUGUCACGACUCGAGGGCGGUUGUAGGACAGAGGUCAGAACCGGCAGCCUCUAGGAGUACCCUUGCGCCGUCCUCAAAGAGUUAAACUCUCAGCCACCCGGGAGACUCCUGAGAUCUAGAACAAUCUAUUUCCCAACAGAGAUGACUAGCCAAGCUUUACUUCUGCAGACAGGAUUCCUAUCUUCAAGGGGCUGACAUAAAGUUGAACAGAUACACACUAAUAAAAACUAUAUAAUGGCUGAUUAGGGAUCAUUAUCGAGUACCUCCUGCAUGUUCAUCUUUGCGUUGGAUGCUCUAUUGACAUUGUUAAUGAUUUAUAUACAACUUCAUGAGGUAGGUACUGAAUCAGCUGUGGGGAUUCAGGGAAGGAAGUGAUUAUGAUGGUGGUGUGAGGAUUUCCUUAAUGGGAUGGGACCUGAGUGGGAUUUGAAGGAUGAAGAGGACUCAGAGAAGGCUGGGCACACUUGGGGGUUGGUUUGUGGUAACUCUUCAAUCUUUCUUCCAUACAUUGGUUCUCCUCAAAAGUAGGGAGUGUAUCCCACUCUCCCUGAGUGUUUGAACCACUACCUAGCUGGGUAAUUUCUAUCAGUCCCUCCUACAGACAUCAGAGAAUUGCAUUUCUCUAACUUGGUGAAGAAGAAAGAAAUGAUGGGUGCUGCAGAAGUGUUCCUGGUGGCAAGGCUACAGGAGGCCCGAAGAGACCGUCCUCGCAGCUGAGCCUCUGAUGCUUCAGAGUUUUGGGUUGAGGUCCAAGUUGAUGACAACUCUUGGGAAAGCCGCUGACUAGAGAUCGCUGUGAAAUUCCAGACCAGACAGAUGCUUUCUAGCUCAGGAACCAGGAGGCACAGUUUGAGUAUUGGCUAUACAUCUAUUACUUAGGUUUUCAAGAAUGAGGAUGUUCUUUGUUUCUAGGGACAAACACUCAUGAGGAAACCCUGAAUGCCAUCUUUGUAUUCCAGGCUCAAUACUGCCAAGUGUCUCCUGAACUUGCUAACAGGAAGAGACCAGAGAGAACAGUUGAAGAUUGAAAGAUGGUAAAUGCUAGAAAGCACCCGAGAAAGAACUAUUGCACCAGUAUUGCCAACCUUCCUUUUUGCUGAUGAGGUCAUUGAAGGACAUGCUCAAAAAUAUUUCUAAAAUGAACAAACAGAUGCAUGAGUGAAUUAAAGAAAACCAACAGUUAAACUCGAGAAGACAUCAUUCUUCCUGGACCCUCAGUCUGCCACCCCAAGAAACGGUGAGGUAACUGGGCCGAGAUGAUUGCCAAACACCUGCAAGACGCAGGCCCGGUGCCGUGAGCACGGAGGAGCCCGGCUUUCCGGAGAGACUGUGGGACAGGGAAUGUGCGAUUCUUGUUCCUUCUUCAUGGGAGUCACAUUCUUGUCAAGCGUGCAAAUGGAAAAUGCUCCUCUACUCCAGUGACAAAGUAGAAUAACAUGCCGUGUCGGGGUGGGUGGUAGAUGAGAACUGGCGGAUCUGCUGUUGUGUAAUCACAAAGGCAGCUCGAUUCCAUAACUUCACCAGAUGUUUCUGGAAACAAGGCUGUUCUUUUCGGGACCCUUGAGAUUGCUGACUGUGGUGGAACAACCUCAGGGGGUUUGCGAUGUUGGAACGUUUCCUCUCACGUGGCCUGUUAUCCUGCCUCAAAUGCUACCUUUUUUCACUUGUUUCUUUUCAUCAGAUUAUCCUAUCACAAAUCUCUUAAAGAUGCAGCGUGGCUCUGCGGAGAGAGAGAUCGUGUCCGAGGCCCAGCUCUGCCACCUACCUGCUGUGUCAUCUUGGAAUUGACAGAGCACCUGUCUGGGCCUCAGGAGGUGGGGCUUCAGGGAUGAGACCUGCCUACCUUACAGAGCAGCUGUGAAGUCGAGGAGAUGCUGUGUGCAAUAUGGGGAAGGGACAAGGCCUCAACACACACCUCAGUUAGCAUCUCAGCUGGACCUCAACAACCAGCCCCAGCCAGGCCCUGCCGGAGAAGGGCUCGGAAGAGAACUUAGGAGGGGCCCUGGGCAGAACCUCUGAUUUGGGGACCAGGCAGAAUCGAGUUCACAUCUCACCUCUACUGUCCAUUUGGGCAAAUUAUCAAUACUUAGCCUCUUCUGAUUCAGCUCUCUUAUACAUAUUGAUAUAUUAGUGUAACUAUUAUAGGGUUGCUUGUGAAGAGGAAAUGAAGGAAUUUAGACAACGUGUCCAGAGCACAGUUUAUGAACUCAAUAAAUGCUGGCUUUUGUUAGUAGCAGAAUGGAGUGGACCUCCAGCUCUGUCGCUUACCAGCCCAGUGACUUCAGGUGAAAUAGUUAAUAACUCUCUGAGCCACAGCUUGUCUAUCUGUAAACUGCAGUGACGCUGCCUAUCUUAUAUGGCGAUUUUGGGGGCCGACAAGAAUGUAUACAAAGGGCGUGGUACUAACAGGGUCUCAGCUAUUAUUAUUCAUGUUGUUAUUUUGAGGAAGUUUAUCUUUGAUUGAGGGUCCCAGAUAAAUAGCAGCAAAACAAUGGGCCAAUGGAGAAGUUAAGUGGACCAUUAUGUACAGAGAGCCCCAGACAGAACGGGUCACGGCUUUCUCACUGAUGGUGGGAAGUUCCCCAGUGACUUCGCCUGCCAAGUUAUUUGUUUCCUAGCAGGGAAAUAAUACAUGGAACUUGGCCACCGUAGGCUGGAGUCUCACUGUUUUCUGGGAAUCACCUGAUGUCAGGAUUUGCAACCUGAGUGCCUGGUCCAGAACAGGGAGCUCUGCCAGGCCACAGACAAAGGUCCCUUUGGUCCCCAAGCUGGCAUUGGCCACUGCCUGCUGAGGGGCUUGCAGGCAUCAUGUGACUAUCCCUACUUAGAUCCUCAGAUAGAGACUUGGGCCAUUUCUGGGCAUUGUGUCCCAUCCACAACUUUGUGAGGGUAUAAGAAAAAUUAUUUUUUUACUACAAAAAUACCUGGACAGAUCUACUUAAUACUAAAGAAAUCUGCCUUAUCCCAAAGGAGGAAGCAGACAUUGUGGUGUCACAGAAAGAACCCCGGGAUGGGGGUCCACCAGGCAGCCUGCGCCCUCUCUGGUGACUUGGCUCAGGGAUUGCUGGUUACAGAGAAAAAAGCUCUUUCCAUUUAGUUCAAAUAAAAAACAUCGGCCUUACUGUAAGUAUUCAGGGUCAGCUCCUGGGACCCCUGCUGUAGGAAGUUCAGCUUGACCUCACAGUAAGUGGGAAGGCACCACCUCUCCCGGGCACACAGGGAAGCCUGUUUCCACAGCAUCCCAGACAUCCCAGCUCAACUCUCCUCCUGUGUAUGACUUUCCCUGCUGGGCCUGCUUUCCGCUCCCCCUUAAGCUGUCUGCCCGUGGCUGUGGCUGACCUCGGCAAUGAUUCCAGACUCGACACUCACAGACACAGUUGAGACCAAUGAUUCCUCACAGCUCACAGACACAGCCGAGACCGAUGACCACUUGGUCUCAACUUUAAAUACCGAGGAGAGAGAAUUUGAUUGGCUUAAUUUGGAUCAGGUGUUGGCUCCUGGUCAGAUCAACUGUGAUUAGGGGCAAUGGUCCCAUGAGGCCGUGGGCGGUUCCCCCUGGAACUGUGGACAGAGCAGGCUCUCCAGUCAGGGGAUGUAACAAAGCAACCAUGGACAUAUGAGAAAACUGGUUCAACUUUAUGGGUUGUAUUUUCUUCAACUGCAAAAUAAUAAUAAUUAUUAUUGUAUUAGCCAUUAAGUGUCAGAUUAAAUAAUUUUACAUAUAGAACCCAGUUGACCUCCCCUCUUUCCUGCCAACUCCUAUACCUGUUGGGUCAUCUGUGGUCACAUAACAAUAAUCCAGAUCCCCAUCUCGUAGGAUAGAGGAAGUCCACCCUCCAAGGAAGUUCUCUUCUCUAGGGUGUUCCUGGGAACCUGAGGACUGUGUGUAUGUUCCACAAGUCUACCCAGGUGGUGGCCUGUCAUCCCUACCAGCCUCCUUGCUCUGCAUUAUUGCUCCCCUUGAGCUCAGCUGGCAUCUCUAGCAUCGUGUUUUCCAGGCUGUUGACACUCACCCUUGCAUAUCUGCAUCCCUAACAUGGAUGUGAGCUCCUUCCCUCAGUCCCCAAAGCAUAGCUAAGGGAGGAUGGAAAUGGUAUAACUGCCCUCUCCAGCUUUAUUGAGUUAUAAUUGACAACUAAAAAUUGUAUAUAUUUAAGUGGUACAACGUGAUUUUUUAAAAAAUGGAAAUCUUGUAACUUUACUGAAUGUUUGGGGACAACAGAAUUUCACAAAAACACUAAGCUUGGGCUUGCAUAGCUGUUCCUGGGCCUUCCUGAGGCUAGAGGACCCAAAAGGUACCCUCAGAAUAUUUCUGCCGAGGAGUUCAGGCCAUUCUCAGAGAGAGGAAGGGCUUCAUCCCUUCCGGUCCAAAGGCCACCUCAUCGCCUUCACCAGGAUUCAUUCCAAUUGCAGGAAGCCUGAGAGUGGGAACCUCCUUUCCCUCCGGGGGAAACGCCCACUCCCACCUGUCAGGUUGCCAUCUGACACACCCACAGUCACCAAAGACCUUUCUGGUUUCAGCAGGUCUGCUUCCUCCAUUUAAACAGUCCUGCCAGGGCAACUCAACAGCCUCAGCCCAGUACUGGGGGCCAAGCCUGCACCUCCCUCCUCGUUGGGGUAGGUCCUGGCGCUGGAUCGCUUGUGAGCUCAUUUUUGGUCAAAACAACAAACUCAUCUCCCAGGAGCAUACAGUGAUUUUUUUCAGGCAUUGGACACUGAAGUUCCAAGUUUUACACAAAAAAUUUUCUGAUUUUAGGAUUUAUCUGGAAAGUCUCCAAUUGACAUUUGUAAACUGUAUACAUUAGGAUGGGAACUGGCCUUACCAGUAGGACCAAAAUGACUCAGUGCUGUGGUCCCUCCUUAAACAAAGGGAAUGUCUGUUCCGAGGACAGAUUGACUUUUUUUCCCCUCAUAAACUACAGAGACUGUCUGAAAUUCCUCAAAUGGCCACUUUCCAGCCUCAAAUAUUUAAAGCCCUAGUCUCUUCCAGGUGCCUUGUUCUAGCAAAUUAUCUCCUUUGAUCCUCCCAAGAAAUUUAGGAGGGAAGGUAUGGUUUCCUUUGUUUCACAAAGAGGAAACUGAGGCUCAGAAGUGUGGGAUAAUUAGCCUACAGGUGGUAAACAGUAGGGUGGGAUUCAAAUCCAACUUGGACCUUUGUCCUACAGCACCCUCAUCCCAUGACCCUUUCUGCUUCCGAUGGUCUGCAAUUCCGAGGGCCUUAUGAUACUGGGAGGCUCUGACCCUGGCCUGGGGGAAGGCAACUGUGAUUCCCAAGACUUGAGCCCAAAGGACAGUGCAAGCUGCCUAUUUUGCAGGGCCCAGUGCAAAAUGGAAACGUGAGCCCUUAUUCAAAAGUGAUGAAGAAUGCAACACCAUGAGAGCAGAGCGUUAAAGCAGGGACAGAUCCUUGUGAAGGCUGGGCCCUGCGCAGGCGACAGGCCUGUGAGCUGGCAGCCAGGACGAGUCACCUAGCUCUUGGGAGAAGCAUGGGCCGCGGGGCGACCUGGUGCUGGAGGACACUGGGAUGUUUUCCAGCAAGCCUGCUCUGCUCUCUCCCCUGUCACGUGGCAUGAUCGUCAAAGGAAGCGAGAGACCCAUGGGUUGUGUAGACCAGAUAAUUUCUGUAGUUUAACUGCUUGGAUUCCUCCGCUAUUGUUGUUUUGAAUAAUCUGUGUGGCUUUUGAAGAAGUGGCUUGAACUGAUUUGAGCCUUAUUCAGAGGUGAAGAAGUCGCAGGCAAAGGGGGCCUGGAUGAGAGAGGAGCGUUCAGUCGGCGCUGCAGGUCUCGCGAGUGGAGGAGCAGGUGCUGGGUGCUCAGCAGAGGUAGCGGGGACAGAGGCAGCUGGAGAGCUGUGAGCGACAGUGCUCAGCUCUAGACAGCAGAAUGACAAUCGGAAACGUAAAAGCCCAGGCGGAAAGUGAGAAAGAAGGGAGCAAAACAAACCCUCAGCUCAACUGCAGCCGAAAGAGGGGGAAGUUAAGAGAGGAAAUGGCUCAUCAGUGUAGCAAAUGGGUAGCAGCCUCUGCUGGAAGACGGGACCCCCCAGUUGUUUUCCCCAAGGGCAGAGGCAUUUGGGCACUUGGCUGGGUUUCCCCAGGAGGUGGGGUUUGCUAGAGAGAGUCUAAUUCUGGCCAAAGCCUCCCGAAUUCUCAGGUCACUGGUCUGAUCUCAAGCUUUGAAGGCCUGCUUCCAGCUUUGUGACUCUUCCCAGGGUCAGUGAGCAUGCUGUGUGUAAUCUGGGGGCCAGCCUUGGAGGACAACGGCUAACGGUCAGGUGCGGUCCCUGCCCUCCUGGAAUUCUCAGUCUGGAGGGGGAGUCAGGAAAAUGAGCAGGCAGGUGGACAGGCAGGGGAGGUGUUGGGGGGAGCACAGAGGAGGAGUGCCUCACCAGGAAAGGUCUCUCCCCAAGAAAGCCACGUUCAGACAGAAAUCUGAAGGAUGAGCAGCGUUUAUCCAAGUGUUGGGGAUGAUUGAGGUGAGGAGGGGAUCCCGGUUAAAGGGAAAGCAUGUGCAAAGGCCAGGAAGUAAGGAAGAGGGUGUUGCAUUUGAGUGAUGGACAUUGACUCCUAGGAGAGACCUUCCCAUCCACACAUGUUAGUUGAGUGGCUACUACCUGCUCAGGGCUGGAGAGCCAUCCUAUACACUUCAAUGUGCCACUCUCCAUCUGUUGCUUUUCCCAUUGCACACCCUUUCCUGCUUCUCUGUUUUCCUGAUUCUUUCCAUCUCAUACUUUGAUUGGCUCUCUCCCUUGGAUUUAUUCCACGUAUUAGCAGAAUACAAGUUCAGCUGCUGUUUCAAAGAUCAAAAUAACAUUGGCUUAAGCAAGAAAGAUGGAAGUUAAUCUCACUUUCAUGAAAUUGCCCAAGAAUAAGCUGUUGGUUGUGGAGGUGGCUCUGCAGAGGUGAGGACCCAGAAUCUCUGGCUCUUUUUCUUCCACCAUCCCUGAGGUAUCAUUCUUGAGGACAUGCUCCAAAGUGGCUCUCUACCGUGUCAGCUUUCCAUGAGGCAAGAUAGCGACAGAGGAGCUCACUCUCCUUUCUUUAAAGGUCAUGCCACGGAAAUUGUACACAUCAUUUCUGCUCACAUCCCAUUGGCCAGAGCUUGGUCAUGUGACCACACCUAGAUGCACAGAAGUCUGAGAAAUGUAGUCCAGCUGGUGCCCAUGCUCAGUGAAAUCUCAGAAGUAAAUGGAUAUUCAGAUAAUCACAGCCUCUGUCCUAUUCUAUUUCUGGUUUGUGAUCUUGGAGAUCUGUCUUCACAGACUAAUAACCCAGUAACGGCUCUCCUAUUUGAUUCAGCCCUGGGCUCCCCAUCUCUCAUGUAAACACUAGAAAGGCAGAGGACAUCAAUGCUGGAAAACGAAAUAUCAUCCUGUGCUCAGCUAAAACUUACAAAAGACAAACCAAGGGGUAAAACAUUUAUGGGAUGUGUUAGGUCAAUAAAAAUUCCUCUUCUAAGGCCAGGACAAAGGAGGUCUACACGCUGUAUUUAAAGAAGCUUUGUUGGUUAGAUUAAAUGCUGGGUGAGUCCUCUUUUGGGCCUUAAAAGCUCUCCAUCCAGAAGAGAUGAUGAAGCCACAGACUUGCCCAUAAGCCCUUAAUCAAGGCUCAGCCUGAAUUCCUCAGGCUUUGUUGCUUCGAAGGGCAAGGAAGGAAAAAAGUGACGGAUUGACAAGGAACACUGGCAGGUGGUGAAUGUGUUCCCUGCAAAGAGCCUUCCGGAGCGUGAGAGUGCUUAUGAGUGAAUGGGUUCAACCUGACGGAAGAUCCAGAUAAUCCAAUAAAACACUUCUUGUUUUUGUGACUAAUGCAACUGUCAUACUCCAUUUCCAGGAGCUCGAACCAUCUAAAAGGGACUCUGAGCCUUGAAGUUCACUUUCUGGUUUGUACAGCAUUAAAUUUUCAUCUCAGCCCUAUCUCCAAGCUGUCUACCUUUAUUUUAGGCAAUAACAGACUAAGUAGGAAGAGAUUGAGAUGGGAGUAAGAUCAUUUUGUACAGUCCAGACCUCGGUGCUUGUAAUUUGGGGUUUAGCUGCCGUUUUGGCUUAUGAACGUUUCACAGUUCCCUGUCCCCUUACGCAUACUGGACAACACCAAGGUUAUUUGUGUACAUGUCUGCCUCGUACACCAGGUUAAGAGGCUUUUGAGGACCGAGUCUCUGUCCCGGUUUGUGUGGCCUUCCCGGCAUCCAGGGUGGUGCCCGGCACACGGUAAGUAUUGAAUCAGUGCUGUUGAACUGCUGACUUCACUCCGAUAACCAACGCUGACUGUGGCUCUUUUUAGUUGUGCCAUUGUUGGCAGCAUAAGUUAUCCGAAUGCCAUAUUUCUAUCAUAUUUGCAUGUUUUUGAGCUGUGACUCCGUCUUCCCCUCCUCCCACCUUCACUCUAAGAGUCCACUGCAGUCUUUAAAAAAGGAAGGAGUGCUUAACAGAGGCUGGAAGAAUCUAUGCAUCAUAAAAAUUAAUGAUAUGGGAAAAUUGUUUCAUCGUUUCUUAUCAACUAAACAUACACUUACCUUAAGAUCCAACAGUCACUCUCUUGGAAAUUUAUCCCAGAGGAAUAAAGACUUAUGUUCAGACAAAAACCUGUACAUGAGCGUUCAUAGCAGCUUUAUUUGUAAUAGCCUAAAACUAAAAACAAUCCAAACGUCCUCCAAUGGGUGAAUGGUUAAACCUUCUCAUAUAUCCACACAGUAGAAUACUCCUCAGUAAUAAAAAGAACAAACUUUGCAGAAAUCCAAUGUAUUGGUUAGCUAGUUGCUGUAACAAAGUAUCGUACAACUGAGUGGCUUAAACAACAGAAAUGUAUUGUCUUAGUUCUGGAAGCUAGAAGUCCAAGAUCAAGGUGUCAGAAGGGCCAUGCUCCCUCUGUAGGUGCUAGGGAAGGAACUCUUCCCAGCCUCUCUCCUGGCUUUUGGCAGUUCCAUGGCUUGUGACAGCAUAACUCCAAUCUUGACAUGGUGUUGUCCCUGUGUGCCUGUCUGUGUCCAUAUUUCUCCGUUUUAUAAGGUUACCAGUCAUAUUGGAUUCGGGGCCCACAAUGCUCUAGUAUGACUUCAUCUUAACUAAUUACAUUUGCAAUGACACUGUUUCCAAAUUAUGUCACAUUUUGUGGCAGUAGGAGUUAAGACUUCAACAUAUAAAUUUGAGUGGGACAUAGUUUAACCCAUAACGUGUAACAACAUGGGUAAGGGCAUUAUGCUUAGUGAAAAAGCCAAUCUCCAAAGAUUUCAUACUGUAUAAUUCCAUUCAUGUGACAUGCACAAAAUGACAAAACUACAGAGAUGGAGAACAGAUGGGUGGUUGCCAGGGGACAGGGACAAGAGUGGGUGGGGGUGAGUCUAUAAAGGACAGCAUGAGGGAGUUUCUUUGUGGUGAGGAAAUAGUCUGGCUCCUAUUUGGUGGUGGUUAUAUGAAUCUAUAUGAGGGAUCAAAUUGCACUGGACUACACCUCCUUCCCCCAACACACAGGCGUGCAUAUAAAAACUGGUAAAAACUGAACUAGGUCCGUAGUCUAGUUAACAGUAUUGUAUCAAUGUCAAUUUUCUGGUUUCAAUAUUGUACUAGUUACACAAGAUGUCACAUUGGGGGAAGCCGGGUGAAGGGGUUCAUGGGACUACUCUAUGUACUAUACUUACAACUUCCUGUGAGUCUGUAAUCUUUUCAAAAUAAAAAGUUACAAAAAUUGAACAAUAUUGCUAUGUCGGUAGAUGGGAGGCAAGAAAUGAGAGACUGGAGGUGUAGAUUGGGUUAAAAAGUUUCUCUUGGGCUUGCCUGGUGGUGCAGUGGUUAGGAAUCCGCCUGCCAAUGAAGGGCACACAGGUUUGAGCCCUGGUCCAGGAGGAUCCCACAUGUCGCGGAGCAACUAAGUCCGUGCACCACAGCUACUGAGCCUGUGCUCUAGAGCCCACGAGCCACAACUACUGAGCCCACGUGCCACAACUACUGAAGCCCAUGCGCUUAGAGCCGGUGCUCCGCAACAAGAGAAGCCACUGCAAUGAGAAGCUGGCA
Molecule: long non-coding RNA, 11114 nt
Organism: Orcinus orca (killer whale)
Lineage: Eukaryota; Metazoa; Chordata; Mammalia; Artiodactyla; Delphinidae
Exons: 5
Source: RefSeq, a predicted model, not a curated record